AUUUAUAUAGUUUAAUAAAAACCUUACAUUUUCAUUGUAAAAUUAAAACUUGUUUUUAUAAAUA
Molecule: transfer RNA, 64 nt
Filed under: Agrypninae sp. GTI-132
Lineage: Eukaryota; Metazoa; Arthropoda; Insecta; Coleoptera; Elateridae
Description: tRNA-Glu
Source: RNAcentral